CUGGACUGUGUCCCAGUCAGCAGAAGAAAGAGUCCCCAAUGUGCCAGACUCAUGCCUUUGUGUCGAUUGCAGUGUCUACCUUCAGUGUAUACAUCACGUGCAUUGAAUGAGAACACACUUAUCAAAUCCUUAAAAUGAAGCACUUCGAGAAGAAGAUGACGACAGAUCUGGCUGCCGUUGUUGAGGAGAACUGUCAUGUACAAGGCUGACUUUAAAGCAGUGCUGUUGAGUGUGGGGAGUGUCCCGUGAGA
RNAcentral lists this long non-coding RNA (251 nucleotides) under Cavia porcellus (domestic guinea pig). Its description in RNAcentral is "lncRNA (ENSCPOG00000031007.1)". Lineage: Eukaryota; Metazoa; Chordata; Mammalia; Rodentia; Caviidae. The record is from RNAcentral.